Molecule: ribosomal RNA, 463 nt
Filed under: uncultured bacterium
Lineage: Bacteria
Description: partial 16S ribosomal RNA
Rfam family: Bacterial small subunit ribosomal RNA
Source: RNAcentral
GACGAACGCUGGCGGCGUGCUUAACACAUGCAAGUCGAGCGGUAAGGCCCUUCGGGGUACACGAGCGGCGAACGGGUGAGUAACACGUGAGUAAUCUGCCCAUCACUUCGGGAUAACUCCGGGAAACCGGUGCUAAUACCGAAUAUGACCACUUCAGGCAUCUGAUGGUGGUGGAAAGUUCCGGCGGUGAUGGAUGAGCUCGCGGCCUAUCAGCUUGUUGGUGGGGUAGUGGCCUACCAAGGCUUCGACGGGUAGCCGGCCUGAGAGGGUGACCGGCCACACUGGGACUGAGACACGGCCCAGACUCCUACGGGAGGCAGCAGUGGGGAAUAUUGGACAAUGGGCGAAAGCCUGAUCCAGCAACGCCGCGUGAGGGAUGACGGCCUUCGGGUUGUAAACCUCUUUCAGCAGGGACGAAGCGCAAGUGACGGUAACUGCAGAAGAAGCACCGGCCAACUACGUG